GUCCAACCUGCCCAGUGAACUAGUUUUUAACGGCCGCGGUAUCCUAACCGUGCAAAGGUAGCAUAAUCACUUGUCCCUUAAAUAGAGACUUGUAUGAACGGUUAAAUGAGGGCAUAACUGUCUCCUGUAGCCAAUCAAUGAAAUUGAUCUCACAGUACAAACGCUGUGAUGUAACUAUAAGACGAGAAGACCCUGUGGAGCUUUAAAUCCACCACAUUAACUAUAAUUAAAUUUACUAUAGCAUAAUGUAACUUUUAAGUUGGGGCGACUAUGGAGUAAAACUAAACCUCCAUGAAACACGACUAACCUCGUCAUUUAAGGCUUACAAGCCUAAUCAAAACCUACGACCCAGUCAAACUGAUCAACGAACCAAGUUACCCCAGGGAUAACAGCGCCAUCCCCUUAAAGAGUUCACAUCGCCAAGGGGGUUUACGACCUCGAUGUUGGAUCAGGACACCCAAGUGGUGCAGCAGCUACUAAAGGUUCGUUUGUUCAACGAG
Molecule: ribosomal RNA, 500 nt
Filed under: Phelsuma quadriocellata quadriocellata
Lineage: Eukaryota; Metazoa; Chordata; Lepidosauria; Squamata; Gekkonidae
Description: partial 16S ribosomal RNA
Rfam family: Bacterial large subunit ribosomal RNA
Source: RNAcentral